Molecule: long non-coding RNA, 294 nt
Filed under: Brassica rapa (field mustard)
Lineage: Eukaryota; Viridiplantae; Streptophyta; Magnoliopsida; Brassicales; Brassicaceae
Description: long non-coding RNA (BRAP_LNC008232)
Source: RNAcentral
UCUUCAUCACCUCGACGAUUUCUCUUUUGCCUUUCCACUCCGCAUUACGAACAGCCUGCGCAUGAUCACGAGUAAGCUGCGCCUCUCACUCCAGCAUCUCGCCUUGCACGCGAGCAAGAUCCCGCUCCGCUUUCUCCGCCUUGAAACUGUAGACCAUGGCUUCUCUAUGGCCCGCCUCAAUGGCCGAGCCCAGCAAGCUCAGGCCCUGCAAAAUCGAUUGGCAUGUUAUAAAUAUAUACAUGGGACCAUCAUCAAAAAAUUCUCAAAAAAAAAAAUAACCCCAUUGAUGAUGCG